UACGUAGGGUGCAAGCGUUGUCCGGAAUUAUUGGGCGUAAAGAGCUCGUAGGCGGCUCGUCGCGUCGACCGUGAAAACCCGCGGCUUAACUGCGGGCUUGCGGUUGAUACGGGCGGGCUAGAGUUCGGUAGGGGAGACUGGAAUUCCUGGUGUAGCGGUGAAAUGCGCAGAUAUCAGGAGGAACACCGGUGGCGAAGGCGGGUCUCUGGGCCGAUACUGACGCUGAGACGCGAAAGCGUGGGGAGCAAACAGG
Molecule: ribosomal RNA, 253 nt
Filed under: uncultured bacterium
Lineage: Bacteria
Description: partial 16S ribosomal RNA
Rfam family: Bacterial small subunit ribosomal RNA
Source: RNAcentral